This is a non-coding RNA of Prunus avium (sweet cherry), 2316 nucleotides long. The record is from RefSeq and is a predicted model, not a curated record. Lineage: Eukaryota; Viridiplantae; Streptophyta; Magnoliopsida; Rosales; Rosaceae.
UCUUCUUUAUCAGUUUCUUCUGGCACGUUCUAUUGAAAUAGGAUGAAAGCAAAACAGAAACCGUCGAAAACCCACCAUGGCCCUCAAACUUGGAAAUGCAUUUCCCCCCCUCCCAUGUUUUGCAGAGCAAUAAUCCUUAUCUACUCACUGCAUAAAAAGGGAGGAAGAUUGAAGGAAAAAGAACUGGAGCAAUCAAUAUUGGAACCUCCAGUCUGCUCAUCAAUCUGGUAGUUCAUGUCUUUGUGUGGCUGAUUUUCUCUUUGCCUGUGUUUAUUCCAGAAAAUUGGUAUAAAAUUAUGUAUUUGCAAGAUGUUGCAGUGUAUGAGAGAGUCAAGAAGAGCCUAUGAGUAUGACGAGAUUCUUGGCAGGGAUUGAUGACUCAGUUGAGGAUGAGAGGGAUUUGGAUCAGAUCAUGGCCGACCGCAGAGCCGCCGAAAUCGAGCUCGAUACCCGCGACGGCGUACAAACAACUCGCAAGCUCCCUCAUCUUCUCCAUGACCAAGAUACUGAUGAUGACAGCCACAGGCCUUCAAAGAGGACGAGGGCUGAUUUCAGGCCUCCAAGAAACUACAACGAUAAUGAUGGAAUGCAGAGUUCACCGGGAAGAUCACAACGCAGAAACUUUAGAGAGGAUGUCCCAAUGACUGACCAGACUGAUGAUGAUGGCUAUGAGGAUGAUGAUGACCAAGAAGCCGAGUUUGAGAUGUAUCGUGUUCAGGGAACACUCAGGGAGUGGGUUACUAGAGAUGAAGUGCGAAGAUUUAUAGCCAAGAAGUUCAAAGAAUUUCUGCUCACCUUUGUGAAGAAGGGUUCUUCUGACAUUGAAUAUGUGCGCCUCAUUAAUGAGAUGGUAUUAGCCAAUAAGUGUAGUCUGGAGAUUGAUUACAAGCAAUUCAUCGGUACUCAUCCCAAUAUUGCCAUUUGGUUGGCUGAUGCUCCUCAGCCUGUCCUGGAAGUCAUGGAAGAUGUUGCCAAGAAUGUGGUGUUUAGUUUACACCCCAAUUACAAACGUAUCCAUCAAAAGAUCUACGUUAGGAUAACCAACUUACCUGUUUACGAUCAGAUUCGCAACAUUCGGCAGAUCCAUUUGAAUACCAUGAUUCGUAUUGAAGGCAUUGUGACCUGACGCUCUGGGGUCUUUCCCCAAUUGCAACAAGUAAAGUACGAUUACAAUAAAUGUGGGGCAAUCUUGGGGCCAUUCUUUCAAAACUCUUAUUCAGAAGUUAAAGUUGGUUCUUGCCCUGAAUGCCAAUCAAAUGGACCGUUCAGUGUCAAUAUUGAGCAGUUUUAAUCCGUAUAGGCAGCAGUUCCUUUCAGUUUUUUUACGCUCUCAUCUUCUUCUUCUUCACUUUUCGGGGUCCAGUCAUUAGUUCAAGAACUCGAAGUCCAGAGUUGCUUCAAUGACUCAGGUUCCAUGUUUUCUGUUUAAUAAUCUUCAAUCUGCAAAGUAUCAAUUCUUUAAAUGAUGGAAUCGCCUCUCACCUCUCUCUCUCUGACGCAUAAGGGUUCCAUAAGAAGCAGAGGAAACUAUAUUUAAGGAAUUAAAAGCAAAAUGAGGAUCAGAGUUGGAGGGAGUUCAAGAGUAACAUGAAAGCAGAACAAAACGGAAGCAUCAUGGUGAGUCAACAGAAGCACCGAUCAUGACAUCUUCGAGCAGUGAACCAAAGUCGCUCUUCUUCGUGGACAAGUCCAAAGCUCCUCCUUGUAUUCUUCGAAAUUCCCAGGGAAGACCCUCACGGUACCAUCUUCAACACCCCAAAUUUCACUCUUCUCUUCACCCUCGCACACACGCGAUAUCAGCCUAGAAUCAUGACUCACCAGUAUAACUCCACCGGUGAACUCAUCAAGUGCAUCAGCCUGCAUAUCUAAAUGAUUUGUGGGUUCAUCCAACAGCAAAAUGUGGGGCCUUGACAUGGAUAUUGAUGUGAAGACAACACUGGGUUUCUGCCCUCCUGAUAAUUUUGAUUCAUCAGAGUUGUUUAGGCUUCGGUGGUGGUUGGGUUACAUAGAGGUGGUGGUUGGCUGCGAUUGGGUGGAGACUGUGUGUGGGUUACAGGAGGAAGAAGAUGAUUUCAAUUUCAAUUUUGUUGCCCAAUUUGAUGAGCUUGGUCUGAUUGGCAUCGCAGGAACUGGGGUGGGUGGGGGAGCUCGGAGGAGAAAUGGACGGAGAGAGAGAGAGAGAGGGACGAAGAGAGGGAGGGGUUGGGGUGGGUGCGGCUGUGCAUCGGCAAGAGGGGUGGAGAACAUCGGGGAGGCAUUGGGCUGUUGUAGGGCAGGGAAGGACUGGGGUCUGGGUAGAUUUUUUAAAUGUUUUAU